GACGAACGCUGGCGGCGUGCUUAACACAUGCAAGUCGAACGGUGAAGCGCCUUCCUUUUUGGUGGGUGUGGAUGAGUGGCGAACGGGUGAGUAACACGUGAGUAACCUGCCCCCUUCUUCUGGAUAACCGCAUGAAAGUGUGGCUAAUACGGGAUAUUCUGGGUCUGUCGCAUGAUGGGUCUGGGAAAGAUAUUGUUUCGGUGGGGGAUGGGCUCGCGGCCUAUCAGCUUGUUGGUGGGGUGAUGGCCUACCAAGGCGGUGACGGGUAGCCGGCCUGAGAGGGUGGACGGUCACACUGGGACUGAGACACGGCCCAGACUCCUACGGGAGGCAGCAGUGGGGAAUAUUGCACAAUGGGCGCAAGCCUGAUGCAGCGACGCCGCGUGAGGGAUGGAGGCCUUCGGGUUGUGAACCUCUUCCGCCAGUGAAGCAGGCCUGCCUCGUUUGUGGGUGGGUUGACGGUAGCUGGAUAAGAGGCGCCGGCUAACUACGUG
RNAcentral lists this ribosomal RNA (494 nucleotides) under uncultured bacterium. RNAcentral describes it as "partial 16S ribosomal RNA". It matches the Rfam family "Bacterial small subunit ribosomal RNA", at positions 28 to 507 of the family's 1533-position model. The record is from RNAcentral.